UGGGGAAUUUUGCGCAAUGGGCGAAAGCCUGACGCAGCGACGCCGCGUGGGUGAUGAAGGUCUUCGGAUUGUAAAGCCCUGUCGGAGGGGGAGAAACCUCCCGUUGCUAACAUCAACGGGACGUGACGGUACCCUCAAAGGAAGCACCGGCUAACUCCGUGCCAGCAGCCGCGGUAAUACGGAGGGUGCAAGCGUUGUUCGGAAUUACUGGGCGUAAAGCGUCUGUAGGCGGUUAGAGAAGUCGGGUGUGAAAUCCCCGGGCUUAACCCGGGAAUUGCGCUCGAAACCAUCUAGCUUGAGUGUCAGAGGGGUACGUGGAAUUCCCAGUGUAGCAGUGAAAUGCGUAGAUAUUGGGAGGAACACCAAUGGUGAAGACAACGUACUGGAUGAUAACUGACGC
Molecule: ribosomal RNA, 400 nt
Filed under: uncultured bacterium
Lineage: Bacteria
Description: bacterial SSU rRNA
Rfam family: Bacterial small subunit ribosomal RNA
Source: RNAcentral